This 743-nucleotide ribosomal RNA is filed under the name uncultured marine bacterium. RNAcentral's name for it is "bacterial SSU rRNA". It matches the Rfam family "Bacterial small subunit ribosomal RNA", at positions 66 to 784 of the family's 1533-position model. The record is from RNAcentral.
ACGAGAAAGUCACCUUCGGGUGGCGAGUAAAGUGGCGCACGGGUGAGUAACGCGUGGACAAUCUGCCCUUUGGUCUGGGAUAACCCUGGGAAACCGGAGCUAAUACCAGGUAAGACCACGACGCCUUCGGGUGAUGUGGGAAAAGAUGGCCUCUCCUUGGAAGCUGUCGCCAACUGAUGAGUCCGCGUACCAUUAGCUUGUUGGUGAGGUAACGGCUCACCAAGGCGACGAUGGUUAGCUGGUCUGAGAGGAUGAUCAGCCACACUGGAACUGAGACACGGUCCAGACUCCUACGGGAGGCAGCAGUCGGGAAUCUUGGGCAAUAGGGGAAACCCUGACCCAGCAACUCCGCGUGAGGGAUGAAGGCCUUCGGGUCGUAAACCUCUGUCGGGAGGGAAGAAAGCCGCGUCGUGAAUAUCUUCGCGGUUUGACGGUACCUCCAAAGGAAGCACCGGCUAACUCCGUGCCAGCAGCCGCGGUAAUACGGAGGGUGCAAGCGUUGUUCGGAAUUAUUGGGCGUAAAGCGGGUGCAGGCGGUCAAGUAAGUCGGAUGUGAAAGCCCUGGGCUCAACCCAGGAACUGCAUUCGAAACUACUUGACUAGAGUCUCGGAGAGGGUGGCGGAAUUCCCGGUGCAGAGGUGAAAUUCGUAGAUAUCGGGAGGAACACCAGUGGCGAAGGCGGCCACCUGGACGAUGACUGACGCUCAGGCCCGAAAGCGUGGGGAGCGAACAGGAUUAGAUA